UAACAUAGGCCAUGGAUGACGGUACCGGACUAAGAAGCACCGGCUAACUACGUGCAGCAGCCGCGGUAAUACGUAGGGUGCGAGCGUUAAUCGGAAUUACUGGGCGUAAAGCGUGCGCAGGCGGUUUUGUAAGACAGAUGUGAAAUCCCCGGGCUUAACCUGGGAACUGCGUUUGUGACUGCAAGGCUAGAGUACGGCAGAGGGGGGUGGAAUUCCUGGUGUAGCAGUGAAAUGCGUAGAGAUCAGGAGGAACACCGAUGGCGAAGGCAGCCCCCUGGGCCUGUACUGACGCUCAUGCACGAAAGCGUGGGGAGCAAACAGGAUUAGAUACCCUGGUAGUCCACGCCCUAAACGAUGUCGACUAGUCGUUCGGAGCAGCAAUGCACUGAGUGACGCAGCUAACGCGUGAAGUCGACCGCCUGGGGAGUACGGCCGCAAGGUUAAAACUCAAAGGAAUUGACGGGGG
This 466-nucleotide ribosomal RNA is filed under the name uncultured bacterium. RNAcentral describes it as "bacterial SSU rRNA". It matches the Rfam family "Bacterial small subunit ribosomal RNA", at positions 450 to 919 of the family's 1533-position model. The record is from RNAcentral.